RNAcentral lists this long non-coding RNA (248 nucleotides) under Elaeis guineensis (African oil palm). RNAcentral describes it as "long non-coding RNA (EGUI_LNC063487)". Lineage: Eukaryota; Viridiplantae; Streptophyta; Magnoliopsida; Arecales; Arecaceae. The record is from RNAcentral.
CAAUCAUGACAUCCGUGCUUCCUUGCCUUUAUAAAUAGGGCCAACAAGAUCCCAUGAAAAUAAGCUUCAAAAAAGCAGAGAGGCUUUGAAAUCAAUCUUCAUCCAUAAUUCUACUUCUCUUUUUUGCAGAUCCAUAGGCCUAGCGAAGGCCGAAGUAAGGGUCGAGAUCAUGAUAAAUAAUAGAGCCAAAGUGAAAGCCAAGACCAGUGUUGAGGUUAGGAGCCCAAAGAUAGAGCACCCAAAUGCCA